Molecule: long non-coding RNA, 650 nt
Organism: Anneissia japonica
Lineage: Eukaryota; Metazoa; Echinodermata; Crinoidea; Comatulida; Comatulidae
Exons: 3
Source: RefSeq, a predicted model, not a curated record
UCAGCAAGAGAAUGAAAUUAUCAUCAACAAAAUUGCGGGCUGUGAUGAGCAAAUAUGUAUGUCUCCAAUGUUGCCUCUACAUAAUCCACCCCUGACAGAAGGAAUAGAUCCUAAAGUCUUUAUUGCUACAGCAUUGGACAGGUGAGAACUGUGGGAAGUUGACCGACUUGCUAAGUUAACUGGUUGUCAAUUUUCUAGUAUGUUUCGUACUCAGAAUACAACACAUGUUAUCCUAAAAACAGAGAAGAAAAUGUUCCUAGACGGCCAUAGAGCGGUAGUCACUGAAUAUUUCAAGGAUGCAAUAGUAUGUGGCGUGGCACCAAAAAUUCAAACGUGUAAAGUGCAAACAAAAAUUCCCAUAUUGAAUACUCGCACUUGGUAGUUGUGGUUGCUGAGCGAAAAAGGAAGUUAAGGAAAAUAUCUAAACGACAAAAAUAAUCCAAAAUCUAUGGUGUUGGUGCUUUUGACAUCUAAGAAACUCUCUAUGCUAAACAUUUUAUCAUCAAUUCUAUUGUAAGCGUUCAUGACUGGUCGAACAGUUUUUUAUAGGAAUCUAAAUUGUGCAUCGUAGAUUAGUUUUACUACAUUCAAGUAUGAUAAUGUUUGGUCAUAUAUUACUCCUUCAUCAUGGAGAGACAAGGCAACAUCGA